RNAcentral lists this ribosomal RNA (59 nucleotides) under uncultured Meliniomyces. RNAcentral's name for it is "5.8S ribosomal RNA". It matches the Rfam family "5.8S ribosomal RNA", at positions 1 to 56 of the family's 154-position model. From Rfam's summary of the family: 5.8S ribosomal RNA (5.8S rRNA) is a component of the large subunit of the eukaryotic ribosome. The record is from RNAcentral. Lineage: Eukaryota; Fungi; Ascomycota; Leotiomycetes; Helotiales; Helotiaceae.
UAAAACUUUCAACAACGGAUCUCUUGGUUCUGGCAUCGAUGAAGAACGCAGCGAAAUGC